CCUACGGGAGGCAGCAGUGAGGAAUAUUGGUCAAUGGACGAGAGUCUGAACCAGCCAAGUCGCGUGAAGGAUGACUGCCCUAUGGGUUGUAAACUUCUUUUAUAUGGGAAUAAAACGUUCCACGUGUGGGAUUUUGUAUGUACCAUAUGAAUAAGGAUCGGCUAACUCCGUGCCAGCAGCCGCGGUAAUACGGAGGAUCCGAGCGUUAUCCGGAUUUAUUGGGUUUAAAGGGAGCGUAGGUGGAUUGGUAAGUCAGUUGUGAAAGUUUGCGGCUCAACCGUAAAAUUGCAGUUGAAACUGGCAGUCUUGAGUACAGUAGAGGUGGGCGGAAUUCGUGGUGUAGCGGUGAAAUGCUUAGAUAUCACGAAGAACGCCGAUUGCGAAGGCAGUUCACUGGACUGCAACUGACACUGAGGCUCGAAAGUGUGGGUAUCAAACAGGAUUAGAUACCCGAGUAGUC
Molecule: ribosomal RNA, 460 nt
Filed under: uncultured bacterium
Lineage: Bacteria
Description: partial 16S ribosomal RNA
Rfam family: Bacterial small subunit ribosomal RNA
Source: RNAcentral